Molecule: non-coding RNA, 1258 nt
Organism: Heterocephalus glaber (naked mole-rat)
Lineage: Eukaryota; Metazoa; Chordata; Mammalia; Rodentia; Bathyergidae
Source: RefSeq, a predicted model, not a curated record
GCAUGGAGGUUCCUUUUUCCUCACAACUUCGCCAACAUUUGUUACUAUUUGACUUCUUGAUGACGACCAUUUUUUAUGGAGCAAGAUAUAAUCUCAGUGGAACAUUUUUUUCAUGAUUGCGAACCUUCCUCAGGGUGCAGCUCUGAAUAUCGCCACACGAGGGCGGUGCUGCACCGCGCCAGGGAAGGGCUUGUUUCCACUCAGGCUGUGAGGAUCACAGUCCUCCACAUUCAGAGCUCACGCAGGAGAGAACGCCGUGUUGUCAUUUCUGGCUGAUGGUUUGGGGACCCGGUGAGCAGGUACAGCAUUGGAAAUACGCGUCUGCAAAGCCCAGGUCACAGGGCCCAGACAGAGGGCAGGGCAGGGCAGACCCUAGGCACAGGGCGCGGUGGGGGAGCUGGGGUCUCUUCUCCCCACCCCCUCCAGGAAGCCAGGAGGCAGAGCAGAGGCUCCGCCUCUGUCUGCUGCUCCAGCCCCGCCUCUCCUGCCUCCUCCUGGCCCUCCCCGGAAGUCUCACCCAGGUCCAAGGUCUCCAGUCUGUCAGACAGGCCUGGAGACGCUGUUUGCCAGCACACAGGCCUGAGAAGAGGAAUAAAUGGUCACAGGUGGCUGCACGAAGGUACAGGUCGUGAGAUUGUGCAGAGCUCGGCACGGGCACAGCAUACACAGAUACUGAAGUGGUGGCGGAAUCAGCUCUGUGGUGGGUUCCCCCGGUGAUUUCCUGAUUCUCGGGACUGUGUAACUAUGGCUAUAUGAGGUGGUGCCAAUGUAGCCAGGCCUGGUGGUGCAGGCCUGUCAUCCCAAGCAGGCUGGGAGGCUGAGGCAGGAGGGUUGCAAGUUGGAGCCCAAACCUUGGCAACUUAGUGAGAACCUGGCUCAAAAUAAAAAAGGGUUAGAAAUGUAGCUCGGGGUAAAGGCCAUGGUCUGAGGAUCAAUACAGCCCCUCCCCAAAAGAUCAGAAGGUCGAGUAUUCUUGUUUAUGAGAACAAAAGGGCAGUUGUGGUGGGAGCCUCUUCAGGUGACGCCAAGAAUCUUGGUUCUCAUCGUUGACACCAUGGGAUAAAGGUGGUGUGGCUUGGAAGAUCCUCUAAACGUAUUUGGAAUUCUUAACCUGUGUAGUGUGGGCAGAGCCGGUUGCUUUGUGAACACUAGGGCUGUUAGCCCUGGAGGGUUGCAGAGAACCAGAGACCUGCACCUGGGUCAGUGGCAUUGGGUGACAUCCGGCAGUUGUCAGUGACAUGGAGUAGGGAUGGGGGAG